This 293-nucleotide ribosomal RNA is filed under the name uncultured eukaryote. RNAcentral describes it as "partial 18S ribosomal RNA". It matches the Rfam family "Eukaryotic small subunit ribosomal RNA", at positions 6 to 293 of the family's 1831-position model. The record is from RNAcentral.
GGUUGAUCCUGCCAGUAGUGAUAUGCUUGUUUCAAAGAUUAAGCCAUGCAUGUCUAAGUAUAAGCGAACUUAUACAGUGAAACUGCAGAUGGCUCAUUAAAACAGUUUGAAUUUAUUUGAUGGAUGUACGCGAGUACUACAUGGAUAACCGUAGUAAUUCUAGAGCUAAUACAUGCAAGAACGCCCGACGGCAACGGAGGGUUGUAUUUAUUGGAUACAGAAACCAAACCCGGCAACGGGUUUCGUUUGUUGAUUCACAAUAACUGAUCGGACCGCUGCCCUGGCAGCGGUAG